CAUGCCUAACACAUGCAAGUCGAACGGAAACGACGAAAACAAUCCCUUCGGGGUGCGUCUUCGGGCGUCGAGUGGCGGACGGGUGCGUAGUGGUAGGAAUCUGCCUUAUGGUGGGGGACCAAUCUUGGAAAGUGGGACUAAUAGAGGUACUCGUUAUAAGGGAAAGCAGGGGAUCUUCGGACCUUGUGGRUAAUCUAUGAACCUGGGGCUGAUUAACUUGUUGGCUAGGGUAAUGGCCUGCCGAGGCGACAAUGCGCUACUGGUCUGAGAGGACGACCCUGCACUGUGGGGCUGAGACGCCGCCCUGACUCCUACAGGAGGCACCAAUGCGGAAUAUUGGACAAUGGGGGCAAUCCUGAUCCAUGAAUGCCGCGUGGGUGAAGAAGGGCUUAGGGUUGUAAAGCACUUUCAGGGUGGAAAAAAUGUUUGUAGUUAAUAACUGCGCGUCUUGUCAGUACCUACACAACAUGCACCGGCUAACUCCGUGCCCGCCGCCUCGGUAAUUGCGAGGGUGCAAGCGUUAAUCGAAGUUGCUGGCCUUAAUCCGAACUUCGGCGGUUAUAUAAGUCGGAUGUGAAAGCCCUGGGCUCAACCUGAAAACUGCAUUCCAUACUGUAUACCUAAUUUUUGGUAGAGGGAAUUGAAUUUCCUCAUGUAACGGGGAAUUGCAUAUAUAUGUGGAGGAUCCCAGUGAUGAGGGCGACUUCCUGUACCGAAAGUGACUUUGAGGAGCGAAACCGUGGCUAACGAACGGGAUUAUAUACCCUGGUAAUCCUCACCUACAACGAUGUCCACUAGCCGAUGCGAGAAUUUGUCCCUUAUUGGGGAAUCUAACGCUUUAAGUUGCCGUGUGGCGAGUACUUGCGCACUAUU
This 873-nucleotide ribosomal RNA is filed under the name uncultured bacterium. Its description in RNAcentral is "bacterial SSU rRNA". It matches the Rfam family "Bacterial small subunit ribosomal RNA", at positions 43 to 873 of the family's 1533-position model. The record is from RNAcentral.